CCCCUGCCUCCCUUGUCUCCACCCGCCUAGAUCACUGUCUCACAGUCAUUCUGUGGAACUUCCUCUGUGUCUCUCACUGGAGCCGCCUAACUUCCUCUCCCACCUCCCUUCAUCAAGGAGCAGUCUCAUGCCCAGGAGCUAGAAAUGUAGGCUUUGCCGGCAUUGGUUGAGCUGUGCUGGGCCCUAGGCAGCGAUGACUCAAACUUGACCCUUAACCCCCAGGCAGGCAAGUUUUCACUGGGUCUUACCCGACGUGAGCCCCCACUCCUCCAUAUGGACCUGUUUUGGACCAAUGAGGCAUCCUCUUCUGUAGUCCUCAACACGCGGAGCUCCACCACUCCUGAGCAGUGUGACCUCAGGUGGGGUUGGGGAGAGGCCUCGGGAUGGCAAGGACCAGGGUCUGCGGCCAAGCCUGUGGGUCCUGUCUCCCUCUAGGAUGCCCCUGGGACACUGGUACCCAUGGAUGCACUGGGUGACUUGAGGUCAAUGGCUUUCUCUCUCCAGACCUAGGCAGAAAAAGCAAUCUGCUUUGCAUCAGAGAACCUCAAGAGGCUCUUAAUCCUGCUCUUUUCUCCCUCUGGGCUCCCUCCGUGAUGAGCUCAUCUGACCUCCUGGCAACCCCGAAGGGUGGUUUAGAGCAGGGAAUCAGCCUCCCGAUUUACAGAAAGGAUAACUCAGGCCAGGGAAGCGACUUGGACAGGGUCCUGCAGGGACUCAGUGAAGGAGGCUUCGGAACCCAGCCUGUCUUCCAGCAGGCCAGGAAUCAGCAAAUCUGGCUACCUGUUUUUUUAUUUUUAUUUAUUUAUUUAUUUUGAGACAAAGUCUCGCUCUUGUCAUCCAGGCUGGAGUGCAAUGGCAUGAUCUCGGCUCACUGCAACCUCCGCCUCUGGGGCUCAAGCGAUUCUCCUGCCUCAGCCUCCUGAGUAGCUGGGAUUACAGGUGCCUGCCACCACGCCCAGCUAAUUUUUGUAUUUUUAGUAGAGAUGGGGUUUCACCAUGUUGGCCAGGCUGGUCUUGAACUCCUGACCUCAGGUGAUCUGCCCGCCUUGGCCUCCCAAAGUGCCGGGAUUACAGGCCUGAGCCACUAUGCCCAGCCCACCUGAUUUUUUUAAAAUAAAGUUUUAUUGGAACAAGCCAUGCUUAUUCAUUUACAUAUUGUUCCUGGCUGCUUUCACCAUGCAACAACAGAGUUGAAUACAGAUGCUCUUCAAUUUACAGUGGGGUUACUUCCCAGUAAGCCCAUAAAUUGGCCUGUGGUCCCAGCUAACUUGAAAGGCUGAGUGGGAGAAUCACUUGAGCCUGGGAGGUCAAGGCUGCAGUGAACCCUGAUGGCGCCACUGCACUCCAGCCUGGGUGACAGAGUGAGACCCUGAGUGAGGGUCCCAAGUAGCUGGAAGCCUACAGGUGCAUUCCGCCAUGCGCGGCCCUUUUUUUUUUUUUUUUUUUUUUUUGGUAGAGACUGGAUUUUACCAUGUUGCCCAGGCUGCUGUUGAACUCCUGGCUUCAAGUGAUCCUCCUACCUUGGCCUCUGUAAGCAUUUACAGGGAUUACAGGCAUGAGCCACUGUGCCCAGCCCUGAAUAUUUAAUCAACAUGUAAGGGUGUAGCUCAAUGAUUUUUCACCCACUGAACACACCUGCAUGACUUGCAUCUGCAUCAAUAAACAGAAUAUCACUAAUCCCCAGUCCCCUUCUUAUCCCUGUCUAGUCACUACCCCUCGAAGUGUGGCCGACACCCUGACUUCUACCUGCACCGAUUUCUUUGGCUUAUUUUUUAGCUUUACAUACACAGAAUGAUGUAGUGUGUGCUCUUGUGUGUCUAGCUUCUUUCACUCAACAUGGUAUUUGUGAGAUUCAGUACUGCUGUGUGAGACUGUAUGUCAUUCAUUCUCAUUGCUGGAGAAUAUUCCGUGGGAUGAGUGUACCACAAUGUGCUUAUCCAUUCUUUGGACAUUUGAGAUAUUUCCAGCCAGGGUGGUGGGGAGAAUUAUGAAUUCUGGAGGAUCGCUUGAGGCCAGGAUUUCAAGACCAGCCUGGGCAACAUAGCCAAACCCCAUCCCAAAAAAAAUUUAAAAAUUAGCCAAGCAUGUGAUACACACCUUUAGUCCCAGCUACCCAGGAGGCUGAGGUGUGAGGAUCGCUUGAGCCCAGGAGUUGGAGAGUGCAGUAAGCCAAAAUUGUGCCACUGCACUCCAGCCUGGGCAACAGAGCAAGAUCUUAUCUAAAAAAAAAACGAAACAAAAAAAU
This 2245-nucleotide long non-coding RNA is filed under the name Homo sapiens (human). Its description in RNAcentral is "PREDICTED lncRNA (TCONS_00058394)". The record is from RNAcentral. Lineage: Eukaryota; Metazoa; Chordata; Mammalia; Primates; Hominidae.